This 929-nucleotide long non-coding RNA is filed under the name Ananas comosus (pineapple). Its description in RNAcentral is "long non-coding RNA (ACOM_LNC027161)". Lineage: Eukaryota; Viridiplantae; Streptophyta; Magnoliopsida; Poales; Bromeliaceae. The record is from RNAcentral.
AGAGAAAAAAAAAACGACGAUAAAAGAAAAGGAAAUAGCGAUGGAAGAAGCGACGAUAAAGGGUGGGAUUCAUUUUGCCGAUAAAAGAAGGUAACACUUGAAGAAAGUGGUGUUGAGAAUCCGGUACUCACCCCGGUACUGGAUCUUGUGAAUCCGCAACCCGCUCCGAUACCGACUGCUGUGGAUUCGGUAUCGAUUGUUGGGAUUCCGCAAUGAAAACGUCAAAUCAGAUUUUUACCAUAAAUCCGUCUCCUCAGCAAAAGCUGAUACAAUCAUAAAAGAGAAAAAUAUGUAGGUAAAAUAAGAUUCAUUAAAUAAGAGAAGAUUACACCUGACUCCUCUUCUGCACAGAGUAGCUACAAUCUGAGCCCUCUUUCUUAAUCUCUUCUAUCCUUCUCUCGUCUUCUAUAAACCCACAAAGAAGACCUCUCCACGUGCACCCGUGCACAAGGUGCACUCAACUCAUUAGAUAUUCUCUCUCUGGUACAGUAGCUCAAAAGCUCCAGCGUACUCCACAUCUCCAAAAGAGGCUCUAAUGCAUUAUAUAAUACUCAAACAAGAAUGUACCCGAUCCUCGUAUAUUUAGGAUUUCAACUUUAAUUAAUAUCGAAAUCUAUCUUAAUUAAUCUCUAAUAUAUUUAAAUAUUAAUCUCAAUUUAGCUAGAUUUAUCCUCUAAUUAAUAUUUAAAUCUUAAUUUACCUCCAACAGUUUUAAAUAUUAAUUCUUAUCUAAAUAAAAUUCAACUACAAAUCUAACCAAAUCCUAACAAGUGGAAGAGGAAUAAUUUAGCGAAAUGCAGAGGUGUUAUUCUGUUCAGUUAAAGCAAAAAAAGAAAAAAAAUCUGAUUUGAUUCAAGCCAAGAAAGAACAAAAUACACGAAGAACUUGAAAAGGGAUGGAAUUUCUUCAUCCCUAUAUUUUUGGAAGUU